This 1156-nucleotide ribosomal RNA is filed under the name uncultured Cercozoa. RNAcentral's name for it is "bacterial SSU rRNA". It matches the Rfam family "Eukaryotic small subunit ribosomal RNA", at positions 84 to 1213 of the family's 1831-position model. The record is from RNAcentral. Lineage: Eukaryota; Cercozoa.
AAACUGCAGAUGGCUCAUUAAAUCAGUUAUAAUUUAUUUGAUGGUUAACUCACUACAUGGAUACCCGUAGUAAUUCUAGAGCUAAUACAUGCGUAGGGUCCCGACUCUCGCGGGGAGGGAUGUAUUUAUUAGAUCCACAAAACCAAUAUUGUCGGAGCCUUAACGGGUUUCGGCAAUCACCCAAGGUGAAUCAUAGUAACUGUAAUCGGAUCGCAUGGCUCCAUGCCGGCGACAGAUCAUUCAAAUUUCUGCCCUAUCAGCUUUCGACGGUACUGUAGUGGACUACCGUGGCAUUAACGGGUGACGGAGAAUUAGGGUUCGAUUCCGGAGAGGGAGCCUGAGAAAUGGCUACCACAUCUAAGGAAGGCAGCAGGCGCGCAAAUUACCCAAUCCUGACACAGGGAGGUAGUGACAAGAAAUAACAAUACCGGGCCGUCUUACGGUUUGGUAAUCGGAAUGAGAACAAUUUAAAUCCCUUAGCGAGGACCAAUUGGAGGACAAGUCUGGUGCCAGCACCCGCGGUAAUUCCAGCUCCAAUAGCGUAUAUUAAAGUUGUUGCAGUUAAAAAGCUCGUAGUUGGAUUUCUGGUACGGUGUGCCUGAUCCGCCGCCCCUGAGGGUGACAUUUUCUGGAGAGCAUGAUCUACCCUUCAGUGGGCCGGAUCUGCCAUCUGGAUCAUUUACUUUGAAAAAAUUAGAGUGUUUAAAGCAGGCGUUAUUCGCCACUGAAUACAUUAGCAUGGAAUAAUAAGAUAGGACUUUGGUUCUUUCCUUUGUGUUUAUUUUGUUGGUUUCUAGGACCGAAGUAAUGAUUGAUAGGGAUAGUUGGGGGUGCUAGUAUUCAACGGCCAGAGGUGAAAUUCUUGGAUUCGUUGAAGACUAACUAAUGCGAAAGCAUUCACCAAGGAUGUCUUCUUUAAUCAAGAACGAAAGUUGGGGGAUCGAAGACGAUCAGAUACCGUCGUAGUCUCAACCAUAAACUAUGCCGACUAGGGAUGGGUGGACGCUGCAUUUUCGACUCCAUCCGCACCUUAUGAGAAAUCAAAGUCUUUGGGUUCCGGGGGGAGUAUGGUCGCAAGGCUGAAACUUAAAGGAAUUGACGGAAGGGCACCACCAGGCGUGGAACUUGCGGCUUAAUUUGACUCAACACGGGAAAA